GAUGAACGCUAGCGGCAGGCCUAACACAUGCAAGUCGAGGGGUAACAUAGAGUGCUUGCACUUUGAUGACGACCGGCGCACGGGUGCGCAACGCGUAUAGAACCUACCCUGUACAGGGGGAUAGCCCGGAGAAAUCCGGAUUAAUACCCCGUAGUAAUAUAGAGUGGCAUCGCUUUAUAUUUAAAGUUUUAAUGGUACGGGAUGGCUAUGCGUCCUAUUAGUUAGAUGGUGAGGUAACGGCUCACCAUGGCAUCGAUAGGUAGGGGCCCUGAGAGGGGGAUCCCCCACACUGGUACUGAGACACGGACCAGACUCCUACGGGAGGCAGCAGUGAGGAAUAUUGGACAAUGGGCGAAGCCUGAUCCAGCCAUGCCGCGUGCAGGAAGACGGCCCUACGGGUUGUAAACUGCUUUUAUACGGGAAGAAUAACCACGACGUGUCGUGAGAUGACGGUACCGUAAGAAUAAGGACC
This 472-nucleotide ribosomal RNA is filed under the name uncultured bacterium. RNAcentral's name for it is "bacterial SSU rRNA". It matches the Rfam family "Bacterial small subunit ribosomal RNA", at positions 28 to 494 of the family's 1533-position model. The record is from RNAcentral.